RNAcentral lists this ribosomal RNA (496 nucleotides) under uncultured bacterium. RNAcentral describes it as "partial 16S ribosomal RNA". It matches the Rfam family "Bacterial small subunit ribosomal RNA", at positions 29 to 507 of the family's 1533-position model. The record is from RNAcentral.
AUGAACGCUGGCGGCGUGCCUCAUACAUGCAAGUCGAGCGAACGGACGAGAAGCUUGCUUCUCUGAUGUUAGCGGCGGACGGGUGAGUAACACGUGGAUAACCUACCUAUAAGACUGGGAUAACUUCGGGAAGCCGGAGCUAAUACCGGAUGAUAUUUUGAACCGCAUGGUUCAAAAGUGAAAGACGGUCUUGCUGUCACUUAUAGAUGGAUCCGCGCUGCAUUAGCUAGUUGGUAAGGUAACGGCUUACCAAGGCAACGAUGCAUAGCCGACCUGAGAGGGUGAUCGGCCACACUGGAACUGAGACACGGUCCAGACUCCUACGGGAGGCAGCAGUAGGGAAUCUUCCGCAAUGGGCGAAAGCCUGACGGAGCAACGCCGCGUGAGUGAUGAAGGUCUUCGGAUCGUAAAACUCUGUUAUUAGGGAAGAACAUAUGUGUAAGUAACUGUGCACAUCUUGACGGUACCUAAUCAGAAAGCCACGGCUAACUACGUG